Molecule: ribosomal RNA, 157 nt
Filed under: Fusarium sambucinum
Lineage: Eukaryota; Fungi; Ascomycota; Sordariomycetes; Hypocreales; Nectriaceae
Description: 5.8S ribosomal RNA
Rfam family: 5.8S ribosomal RNA
About the family: 5.8S ribosomal RNA (5.8S rRNA) is a component of the large subunit of the eukaryotic ribosome. It is transcribed by RNA polymerase I as part of the 45S precursor that also contains 18S and 28S rRNA. Functionally, it is thought that 5.8S rRNA may be involved in ribosome translocation.
Source: RNAcentral
CAACGGAUCUCUUGGUUCUGGCAUCGAUGAAGAACGCAGCAAAAUGCGAUAAGUAAUGUGAAUUGCAGAAUUCAGCGAAUCAUCGAAUCUUUGAACGCACAUUGCGCCCGCCAGUAUUCUGGCGGGCAUGCCUGUUCGAGCGUCAUUUCAACCCUCA